This is a long non-coding RNA of Neopsephotus bourkii (Bourke's parrot), 4182 nucleotides long. RefSeq lists it as uncharacterized. The record is from RefSeq and is a predicted model, not a curated record. The transcript has 3 exons. NCBI's taxonomy places the organism in Eukaryota, Metazoa, Chordata, Aves, Psittaciformes, Psittacidae.
UGGACUCCUUACUGCUCAAAUUUUCCCUUCAACAUCCUCCCACCAGCCACACAAACUGCAAGUGCUGUGGCAGAAGUAGCAUCAGUAGUGCAAAGGUGCAUGUAACUGCCAGCACAGACUGCUCUUUCAGGACACCAGAGCUCAGUAAUGGGGACGAAACUGGCUUCCUGCUGCUCCACAACUUACACAGUAGAUUAAAUGCUGGAAAUGGGGAACUGCAGUGAACCAACCAGCUCAGGCUGCAUAGCCCAGAGGCCAGCACCAAACACCACACAGAAAGAACUACCAACGUAUUUCACUGGAUGCACAGGAAAACCAUCCUCCCUCUUCUUCAGCUAAAAUAAAUAGCCUACCUCAUGUCACUGAGAAGAAUUCAGUCCCAUUUAGAUAGAGAAGGACCAAGAACUCAUAGAAGAUAUUUAAGGUCCAUUUUACAUAACAGAUCUAUAGUUCUUCUGACUGCAAAAGUCAGGGAGAAAAAAACUGCACCUGCUGUUAGAAAUAAUGCGUGCCUUCAUCAGUCCUUAGAAAACAAGCACUCAGAUCUGAUUCCUAAAACUACCAUCACAUAGAAACACCCUGUUCUUGAGCAAAAGCAGACAGAACAUAGAAAUUCCAAAACUCCUUCAACAGGUAACAUCAUCUACAUACCUAGGUACCCAUAGACAAGGUGCAGAGACCACUCUGACGGUAUUUGAAGACACUUGAACAGAUUUCAUCACUCAGGCAAGUCUGGGAAUACAAUAUCUUUAGCAUCCUCACAGAACUCAAACGACUGGAAAGAAGUACUGACAAGUACUCCUGAAGAUUUAAGCAGGGAAGCAGAAAUCGUAACUUGGAUCCUCUUCAAAAGAGAUAAGGAACCUGAAGCAGUUGAACAGUUGAAGCUUUCCUGUGCCCACUGGGAAAGGAAGCUGGAAAUCCCGGGAACUGGGACUCAGCUCCCACACAACUGCAGGUGAGGUUGGGACCUCUUGAUGCCCAGUGCCAGAAGAGAAGAGAAACCACUCAAAAAGUAGUCCAAAAAGCGAGGGUUUAGCAUCAUUGUACAGCUGAAACCAGAACCUAUGUCAGGAAACAUCCAAGUCUACAUAGCAGUGGAAGUACUGAAUCAAAUAAUUAGAUGGAAUCAGAUUUACAAAUAACAAAUGAAGGUUUAAAAUACUGUCAUAAGGGGGUUUAUGUCCUUAAUAUAACUAAAAUAUGCAUCUUUGAGUAAGUGACCAAACAAGACAGACAAGGAAAAUGGCAAAAUCCUGAACUACCACUCAUGUUACUUUCUCCAGUCUUUCCAUAAAUAUCCCUAAUCAAGUAUAUCAAAGUCACAUGAACUUCACCAGUCUCCCUUUGGUACAAGAAGUAACAGACCUUUCAAAGCAAGCAGAAACCAGACUUUCAAGUGCAUUAAAUACACGUGCAGAGGACACGGCUUUGUGCCGUUGCCCAACAAACAGGCUCAGGCUUCAGCAGAGCAGCAGCAGCCUGCACCAUUAACAGUGAAGGGCAGUAGGUUUCAAACACGUUGCCGUGCAGUAAAACACUUGACUGAGCAAAGGUUUAUGCACUUCUUAGGAGAUAAUGUUCCAAACUGGGGUAGACAAAGACUGAUCUGACUCUUUCUUCCACAGCACUUUUAAAAUACAGGAUAACCUUGAUUUCUAGUGAGUCUGAGAACUACGUAAAGGCUGUUUAGGUAAUCCCCUCAUUAUGCAAAAGUAAGUUAAAUCAGACUUAAAGUUGUGCAAGUGAAACAAUCUCCUGUCUCUUUCCUGACUACUCCCCACAUUACCCACAGGCCAGAUGAGAACUCCAGAAAUUGUAAUAGCCACCACUGGUUUCAAUUCAAAAUUGGAAUCCUCUCUCAUUUCCAUUACUACCACAAAAUUUACGGGUAAACCCAUUUUUACAUUAUUAAAUCAAUUGGUUCCUUCCCUAAGCCAAAUUUUCUCCUUACUUCUGUUUUAUAAUGAGCUCUUUGAACCGAGGAUAUUUCAUUUUAGUGCCCAGUCUCAUAAAUCAUAAUUCCGUAAUUAAGUCUAAUCCUAUAUCCUUCACACCCAAGCUGUGCUCUGUGUGUGAGUAAAACUUCUGAAACAAACCACCCGCCCCCCAAGGCUCAUUACUUGCCACAUUCUCAUAAGGGUGCUUUGUGGAAAGCUUUGCCUCAUUGUUUAUUUAAAGACAGCACUGUUGUUAGAAUACUUGCAACAAGCAUCAAAAUAAGGUCGUUAUAAAUGGCAAAGCUGGAGCUUGCCUAAUUGCUAAUGUGAGUGGGUAAUCACAGAGGAUAUAAGCUUUGAUAUAUGCAUUAAGUUGCAAGGUGUGCAAGAUACAGCUGUAUUUAUACGUCUACAUAUCUACUUAUGUGGCAUUUAUUGUAAGAUCAAUGAAGGUGUUUAAUAAUGCAUAUAAUAUAGCUUAUGCUUAUGAAAGUUAUCACUGAAAAGAAAUACACCAUAUGGCUUAAAAAUGUACAUUAGCAUACAAAGUAGCUGCAGAAUUCACUCCAGUGUUUUUGCAUUAGGAAGCCAAUCAAGACAGCAUAGUUCUGAAAAUGCUAAUCCUACAGUAUUUAAGAACAAAAGAAAGAACCACGCAAUCAAAACUGUCAGAUCUCACUGGCACUGUCAGACCAGAGGCUAAAGUACCUAGGUAAUAAAACAUACAAGUACCUUUGCUUGUACAGGAAAGCUGAAAUUCAGCUUCUCUUCCUUCUUCUAGGUAUUAUUUGAUUCUGUAUGUCUCAGAGUUCAAUUAUGAGUAAUUUUAGUUAUGCCACUCUCACUUUCUUCAGGCUUUUCAUUCUUUCUGACUAAUUAGGUUUUGUCAUCUGGCACAAGACAAAACAAAAAUGGAUAUUAAUUAAAGGACACAUACUCUGCUCCUUAGCCAUAGCUUACGUUUUCAGACAGUAGGAGGGAAGGGUAAAAAGAAUAAGCACACUGAUGAAUAUGCUACAUUGGUGUGUUGUAAGCUCCAUCAGUCACUACAUCUUUUUUUCUCAGCACCAUUCUGAGGCCACCACGAUGACAUUUUAGCCUUUGCUGUAUUUAGAAUGUUUUGAUUUAUACUGUUCUAUAAGCACUUUCUACUUAAUCCUGUCUUUUCACAAAGCAUGACUGACUCAAUAUGUGUGAAGUCAAAUAAAAUGAUUAAUGCACAAAAGCCCAGGGAAGAAGCCUGAAUAAAACUGGGAUGCUCAUUUCAAAUCAGAAAGUUCUGGCAAGCACUUCCUCAAAUUAACAGAAGUUGUUCAAGAAAAAUCAACAUUAAACUUGAGAAAAUUAGUCCAAAUACUCCACAACACACUUUUUGAUGCUAAUUACAAGUAAGUCUCAGCACCCCUCGUCAUGCACUGUCAUACAUUACCUAGCAGGCAGCUCCUGCUGCAUGCUCCAUUAAUUAUGUUCCAUGAGGUUUCUCACUGCUACGGCACAGAAGCGUAUUUGUGGAGGUGAGACAGGAAUGCAGCUACUGACUGUGACUAACAGGCUCAUUGUCAAAUUUUCCUACAGCUGAUGCUGGCUAUUGCCAUUACUCACUUUUCGUUCCGCCUCUCCAACUGAGAAUACUUUUCUCCCCCUCACUGUACUGACUGGUGAUUAAUAGCAGCUCUAAUUCCCAGCAUGCACCGUUACCAACAUUCACAGCUAAAAUACUGGGGAAGGUGGUCUUGAGGUUCAGACACUGGUCUUGGACAACUUAAGAUACCUGGAUUCAUUACCUAGCUCUGCCACAUAUCUCCUUUGGGACAUAAAGUCUCCAACUGUGCAAAAGCUAAAACACACUAAAACCUCAAAAAUCAGGGGGGGAAACACCCACAUUAUUAGCACAGUUCAAUAAUCCAGUACCACAUAUAUCUUGAAAUAGCAGAAAGCCAACCAUAGGUGUAAAUUCCUUUUCCCAAACUUUUUCUUUUCUGAAAAAAACUGAAUUGCUACUGUCAGUUCAUACAUUCAAAAGCACACUCCUUUUUAUUUAAAAAAGGGGGGAAAGGGGAGCCUAGAGAGUGCUGAGAUUGGAAAAGCCGGGCUGCACAUCAUCAGAUGGAUACAGGAGGAAGAAUCUGGAGCAGUGCUGCCUGACCUCCUUGCCCCUGCCCCCAUCCCACACUACAGUGCUAGCCUCAGAUGAGGAAGAGAGGUUCAGUUUCCUCUUCUGACUAAGAGGGAUCAAAUCUGA